This 531-nucleotide ribosomal RNA is filed under the name Fusarium culmorum. RNAcentral's name for it is "eukaryotic LSU rRNA". The stretch from base 179 to 332 matches the Rfam family "5.8S ribosomal RNA". Lineage: Eukaryota; Fungi; Ascomycota; Sordariomycetes; Hypocreales; Nectriaceae. The record is from RNAcentral.
UCCGUUGGUGAACCAGCGGAGGGAUCAUUACCGAGUUUACAACUCCCAAACCCCUGUGAACAUACCUUAUGUUGCCUCGGCGGAUCAGCCCGCGCCCCGUAAAAAGGGACGGCCCGCCGCAGGAACCCUAAACUCUGUUUUUAGUGGAACUUCUGAGUAUAAAAAACAAAUAAAUCAAAACUUUCAACAACGGAUCUCUUGGUUCUGGCAUCGAUGAAGAACGCAGCAAAAUGCGAUAAGUAAUGUGAAUUGCAGAAUUCAGUGAAUCAUCGAAUCUUUGAACGCACAUUGCGCCCGCCAGUAUUCUGGCGGGCAUGCCUGUUCGAGCGUCAUUUCAACCCUCAAGCCCAGCUUGGUGUUGGGAGCUGCAGUCCUGCUGCACUCCCCAAAUACAUUGGCGGUCACGUCGAGCUUCCAUAGCGUAGUAAUUUACACAUCGUUACUGGUAAUCGUCGCGGCCACGCCGUUAAACCCCAACUUCUGAAUGUUGACCUCGGAUCAGGUAGGAAUACCCGCUGAACUUAAGCAUAU